RNAcentral lists this ribosomal RNA (475 nucleotides) under uncultured organism. RNAcentral describes it as "partial 16S ribosomal RNA". It matches the Rfam family "Bacterial small subunit ribosomal RNA", at positions 333 to 799 of the family's 1533-position model. The record is from RNAcentral.
ACACUCCUACGGGAGGCAGCAGUGGGGAAUUUUGGACAAUGGGCGAAAGCCUGAUCCAGCAAUGCCGCGUGAGUGAAGAAGGCCUUCGGGUUGUAAAGCUCUUUUGUCAGGGAAGAAACGGUGAAAGCUAAUAUCUUUUGCUAAUGACGGUACCUGAAGAAUAAGCACCGGCUAACUACGUGCCAGCAGCCGCGGUAAUACGUAGGGUGCAAGCGUUAAUCGGAAUUACUGGGCGUAAAGCGUGCGCAGGCGGUUUUGUAAGUCUGAUGUGAAAUCCCCGGGCUCAACCUGGGAAUUGCAUUGGGGACUGCAAGGCUAGAAUCUGGCAGAGGGGGGUAGAAUUCCACGUGUAGCAGUGAAAUGCGUAGAUAUGUGGAGGAACACCGAUGGCGAAGGCAGCCCCCUGGGUCAGGAUUGACGCUCAUGCACGAAAGCGUGGGGAGCAAACAGGAUGAGAUACCCCAGUAGUCCCAUG